CAGAGUUGAAAAACUCCCAAACCCUUGUGAACAUACCAGUCAACGUUGCUUCGGCGGGCAGCCCCAGGGAGGGGCCGCAGCCUCCUCGUGAGGCGCCCGCCGGAGGUAUCUAAACUCUUUGUAUUAUUUUGUUAUCUCUGAGUUGUCUUUAAAUAAGUCA
RNAcentral lists this unclassified non-coding RNA (160 nucleotides) under uncultured Cordana. RNAcentral's name for it is "sequence contains ITS1". The record is from RNAcentral. Lineage: Eukaryota; Fungi; Ascomycota.